This 521-nucleotide ribosomal RNA is filed under the name uncultured Pseudomonadota bacterium. RNAcentral describes it as "bacterial SSU rRNA". It matches the Rfam family "Bacterial small subunit ribosomal RNA", at positions 85 to 619 of the family's 1533-position model. The record is from RNAcentral. Lineage: Bacteria; Pseudomonadati; Pseudomonadota.
AAAGUAGAGAGUGGCGCACGGGUGAGUAAGACUUAGGUAACGUACCCUCUCGCUGGGGAUAACCAGGGGAAACUUUGGCUAAUACCGAAUAACCCCCCACAGCCUUCGGGCAGUGGGGGGAAAGCCGUAAGGCGCGAGAGGAGCGGCCUGAGUGCCAUUAGCUAGUUGGUGGGGUAACGGCUCACCAAGGCAAUGAUGGCUAGCUGGUCUGAGAGGAUGAUCAGCCACACUGGCACUGGAAUACGGGCCAGACUCCUACGGGAGGCAGCAGCUGGGAAUUUUGCGCAAUGGGGGAAACCCUGACGCAGUGACGCCGCGUGGGUGAGGAAGGCCUUCGGGUUGUAAAACCCUUUCAGUGGGGAAGAAACAGAUGACGGUACCCAUAGAAGAAGCACCGGCUAACUCCGUGCCAGCAGCCGCGGUAAUACGGAGGGUGCAAGCGUUAUUCGGAAUUAUUGGGCGUAAAGAGCUCGUAGGCGGUUUGGUAAGUCUGGUGUGAGAUCCCUCGACUCAAUCGGGGA